UGCGUCCCCAACCCCAACCUCAAGCCACCCCCCUCUCUCACAAAAAUCAAUACUCUCUCUCUCCAACCGCCACAAUCCCUCUCUCUCCCUCUCUCUCUCUCUCUCUCUCUACGAUUCCACAGUCUCCGUCUCCGCCUUUGUUUCUUUGAUUCAGGAAUUCAAUAGUCUACGAUUCUUCCGAUGCCCUAGCACCUCCAGGGCCGGUGCCACUCACCUCCGGCGGCACCUCCGGUUGGUACGACUAUAGGUUUUCUGGUUAAGGAUUUCACUAGAUUUUCUUAGUGGGGUAAAUCUCACAAACUCGAUUCGAUCGUGAGGGGGCACACUCUUGAAUUUAGGGUUUUUGCGGUUCCAGCGAGCGCCAUGCCUCCGGCGCGUAGACGCGGAGCGAACAACAAAGGCAAGGACAAGAGCCAGUUGAGUCUGGGUGAUCUUGUCCUCGCAAAGGUCAAGGGCUUCCCUGCUUGGCCCGCCAAGAUUAGCAGACCUGAAGACUGGAAACUGUCACCUGACCCCAAGAAAUAUUUUGUCGAAUUCUUUGGAACACGAGAAAUAGGUUUUGUUGCCCCUCCGGAUGUUCAGACCUUCACUAAUGAGGUUAAGAGUAAAUUAUUAGCCCGGUGCCAGGGUAAAACAGUUAAGUGCUUUGCUCAAGCUGUGAAGGAAAUCUGUGUGGCAUUUGAUGAGUUGCAAAAAAAGAAAUCAAGUGGUUUGGGAGAUCGUACUGAUGGAUCAGAUGUUGGGCCUGAGGCUCCCUCUGCUAAUGGGGUAGAAGAUGAUGGGGGUGAGGUCGACUUAAAGGUUGAGACUAGUAAAAUGACAUACAAAGGAGAAUCACUGAAUGAGGCUGUAAGUGAUUCUGGCUCGAAGUUGGACCCCUGCUCACAGAGACAAGGUGGAGCUGAAAGUCAAGAAGUAAAGCCAUCUGUCUCCUGUCGGGCAAAUGAUAAUUUGUCUCUGAUUAUGUCUCCUCAGAAAAAUAAUAGAAUAUCUGAUGGUGCAAAACCAAAGGAAGUGGUAACACCGAUGGCCAGUCCAGAUAAUUCUUUAUCUCUAAAGAAAGAAGUGACUGUUGGUAAAAAUGUUGAAGAUGAUACCUUUUGCACCAAGAAACGUGGUGAGGCACAGAAGAUAUUAACAAAUGGUCACAAGUCGAAGAAGAUUGGUGCUUCAAAGAAGAGAUGUGGGAGUGCAGUUGGACUAAACAAAACUAGCACAUCUGCUUUGACAUCAUUAAAGGGUGACAGUGAUGGUCAUUCUGUUGAUUCCUCUGAAUCACUUGAGCGAUCAAAAGAUGGAGUUAAGGCAAAAACUGACUCUGGUAGAAGCAGGCGUGAGUUUUCUUCAAGCCCGCUUAAAGCAGAUUCUGGUAUCAAUGCAGGAAAAAAUUCAAAAGAUCUGCUAAAAGCAAAAAAGCAUUUCAACGUUGCUGAUAAAAUGCUGGACUCUGGUGUUGAUCCAGAUGAGCAGGCCCUGGAAAAACCUUCUGGCAAGGAAAAGAGGGCCCAACAUGGACAUGGAAAGCCUAACCGUGGAACAAUUGAUGUUUUACAUCCUGCCAAAAAGUCAAAGUGCGAAGAUAUGGGUGAUGUUUCCGCCCACGGAGCACAUGCUAGAAGAAUUAAGAGUGAUUCGCCUAGGCCAAAUGCUAUUGACAAGAAGGCAUUGAAGACACCAGAGUUCAAAGGCUCAACAUCAUGUGUCAAAGCAGAAACUAAUCUGGCUUCCAGAGGCCAAAGUUGUAAUUUUGGAUCCAGUGCUUCUGCUGAUGAGGCUGCACUACCUGUAACAAAGCGUCGACGCCGAGCAAUGGAGGCUAUGUCCGACUCUGAGACUCUUCCUGCUGAUGAUAUAUCAGAGAGAAAAUCUGUGUCAGUGAAGAAUGAUGUAUCGUGUUCUAGUAGCAUUAAGGUUCCAGGAAUUCAACAGCACAAAAAACGGAGAGCUGUUUGCCUUUUUGAUGACGAUGAUGAUAAUGAGCGCAAAACUCCAGUUCAUGGUGGAUCUGCUAGAAACAUUAGAGCAUCUUUGUAUGUUUCAGAUGCUACCAGGAGCAGUGAAGCACAGAAUGAUUGUUCUAAAGAUGCUCUACAUGUCGGAGUUUCUACUGGAUUUGAGGAUGGCCAUUCAAAAGAGUUUUCCUCUGAAGUGCAAAGUGAGUCUUUCUCACCAGCUGAAGGUCAAACUGAUGAGAAGAUGCCUGAAAAGGAAAUUGCUACUCAUCUUUCGUGUAGUCCGAGGAAAUUAUACUCUGAGCAGUUGUCAUCAAGGGAAUCGAAGGAACAAUUGUCAUUGAAGGAGGCAAAAUCAAUGUUGAUUUCCCCUAGAAAGUCUCCUCAUUCAGGUCCUGUGACCAGACCAGUGGCUGAACAGCAGAAAGUGGCCAAGGCUAUGAUUAAAGUUUCUGGUACUGUUACUCAGAAGAAGGUUCAUGCCGGAUCUGCUAAGGGUUUGGGUGUUGUUUCUAAUGGCAUGAAUUCUUCUCAGAAUCAAGGAACAACUCAAAGAAACAGACCUUCUUCAGGAGAAAGAUCUAAAGCCCCUCCUAAAUCAAUCUCAAGGAUUGGUGAAUCUACUGUUUUGAUCGAUACUUCAGUAGAGUAUAAUUCUUUGCCCAGUGAAAGAAUGGAAGCUAGUAGGGAAGAUAAAAGUAGUUCUCUGGCUGAUUCUAAAACUCCAGAAUCAUCCAUGAAGCAUCUUAUUGCUGCAGCACAGGCAAAAAGGAGACAAGCUCACACUCAGAACUUCUCUCUUGGAAUUUUCAGUUCUUUUGUAUCUGCACCUGAUGUCCCGGGAAGGAGCCCCAGUCCACCCACAGUGCAGUAUCUUUUGACUGGUACUAGCAAUGUGCUGCAGGCAGAUUUGCAAGGAUUACAUUAUCGCACAAAUGUGGCUUCUCCAUUAAAUCAUGGUCACCAAUCUCCAUUGCGAAAUCAACUUGAUGUUGAAGAAAUUGAGGAAAGAAGAGUUAGUUCAGGGCACAGGACUGCUGGAGGCUCUCUGAGUGGUGGUACUGAAGCAGCUGUGGCUCGUGAUGCCUUUGAAGGGAUGAUAGAGACUUUGUCCAGGACCAAGGAAAGUAUUGGACGUGCUACUCGUCUUGCAAUUGAUUGUGCAAAGUAUGGAAUUGCUAACGAGGUAGUGGAACUUCUGAUACGGAAGCUGGAAACUGAGGCCAGUUUUCAUCGUAAAGUUGACCUGUUCUUUCUUGUAGAUUCCAUUACCCAAUGCUCGCAUAGUCAGAAAGGCAUUGCUGGUGCUUCAUACAUUCCUGCAGUUCAAGCCGCAUUGCCACGUCUUCUUGGUUCUGCUGCUCCACCUGGAGCUGUUGCCCGUGAAAAUCGUCGUCAGUGUCUCAAGGUUUUGCGGUUGUGGCUUGAGAGGAAAAUCUUACCUGAAUCUAUUCUUCGGCCUUACAUGGAUGACAUUGGGGUUUCAAACGAUGAUACGUCCGUGGGUCUUUCGCUGAGACGUCCAUCACGAGCAGAGCGAGCUGUAGAUGAUCCAUUAAGAGAAAUGGAAGGCAUGCUGGUUGAUGAAUAUGGCAGUAAUGCUACAUUUCAGCUGCCUGGUUUAUUAUCUUCCCAUGUAUUUGAAGAUGAGGAAGACGAUUUUCCAAGCAGUUCAGUUAAGGAAGCUGGUGAUGCACUAGUAGUGGAUGCCGAUGCAGCACAUGCAUUGGAAGAUUCAGAAACACAUGCAAUUCCUCCAAAUGACAGGCGCCAUUGCAUCUUGGAGGACGUCGAUGGUGAACUUGAAAUGGAAGACGUUUCAGGACACCUGAAGGACGAAAGGCCCUCAUUCAUAAAUGGAUCUCUUAAAAUGGAUUCACAAGUACAGAGCUCGAAUGGGACUUUGGAAUUUUCUUGUGGUAAUUCCACCGAGCUGCCCCCACUACCGGAGGGCUCUCCACCAUUGCCUCUUGAUUCUCCUCCUCCACCACCACCUUUGCCUCCUUCACCACCGCCACCACCCCCCCCAUUGUCUCCAUCACCCCCACCUCCACCGCCUCCCCCAUCACAGCCAGCACCUCUUCAGUCACAGUUACCUCCUCCUCCUCCUCCUCCUCCCCCUCCUCCUCUAUCACACUCUGGUGCUCCACCAUUGUUGGUUGCUCAAUCUUCUUUACCAGCCCAGCCUUCAUUACUCUCCCAACCCUUUUUACCGCCCCAAUCAUCAAUACAGUCUUCUCCACAGUUGGCAUAUCAACCACCUGUACCUCAUGAAUACUGCAGCACUUCUAGUGGCAACCAACUUGUUCAAUUGGCUGGCCAUGGGGGUCAUAUUGAUAAUACACAGAGAAGUGAAAUGUUUCCACAGCAGUCAUCGUGUUUUACUUCAACAGGAGUCUCCAAUUCUCGCGAACCAUCUGGAUUUAAUUCUUCAAGGCAAUUAGAAUAUGGACACAAUGAUAUGUAUUUAAAUCCACAAAUUUCUCAAACCAACCAACAAUUUCAACAGGGUGAUACCUCUUUUACCCAAAGACCCAUACACCCUGCCCCACCUCACAACCAACCCAGUCAUUUUUCUUAUACAAAACCAACGAUUCAGCAACAUGCUCAGCAUUCAUAUCACCAUCUGUAUUCCUUGCCCUCCCUUCCAGAUGGCCAGAGGCGAUUUGUUGCUGAUGAACAAUGGAGGAUGCCCUCGGGGGAUUUCAAAACUGAACAUCAGCAUGGUGGCUGGAUGAAUGGAGAGAGAGCUCAUUUGGGACCUACCUUUGGCCAGGAAGGUUAUUUUCGGCCGCAGGCAAAUAAUAUUGGUUUUCAGCGUUCAGCACCUAAUAAUCUACCAGCUGGGGCUCCAAUAUCAGGUGAUCAAUUUGUCUUCUCUUCUUUUGGUGGCACCACAAGUUGCAAUGGUCAAUUACAUAGUUCCUCAGAGUAAGAUUCAGUCUCAGGACAAAAUCCAUCUACCACUUGAUGGCAGUGUUUAGAACUAGUGGAGGCUCUUGGCAGGACUCUGUAUAUUGUAAUUUUUCCUGACAAAUGUAUCCCGAGAACAUUUGCUUCCAAGUGUAGGCCCAUGUUUCUGACUUGGACAUUGCAAAUAUAGGCAGUUUGGCCAACAUUCUUUGGUGUAGAGUGGCAGCCUUACCUAUGAAAUACUUGGGACCAACUUUGGGGCACCAUAUAAAGCCAGAAAAAGUUAAGAUGACAUGCUGUUGAAGAUGAAGCAUAGAUUGGAUAAAUGGAUGGAUGUGGCUCUUACCUGUUGAAAGGUGGCCUGCUUACCUUGAUCAAAAGGACUGUAUUUGCUCUAUCCAGUUAUUAUUUGUCAUUGUUCCCUAUCCCACUGAGCUUGGCAAAUCACGUAGAGAAGCUUUGGUGGGAUUUCUUGUGGCGUGGUAAUGGGAAAGUAGCCAAGUUUCAUCUUUUUGGUUGGAUUAAGAUUCACACCGGUUCCCACAGGAGGGUUGGGAGUUGGAGUCUUUUUGGUGUUUAAUUGCACCCUACCAGGAAAAUGGCUAAGACACUUUGCUGUGGAAAGGUGGAAGUUAUUGUAUGGUAGUGUGUGGGGUGGAUGCUCUCUCAUGAAGAUGGAGGGUCUUGAGAUCGUGGGGCAUGGAAAUUCACAAGGAAGUGGUGGAGGGAAGUUCUUGUCACACUAGAUUUGUGGUGGGAGAUGGUGCCAAGAUUAAAUUUUGGUAUGAUUUGUGGUGAUGAGAUAUGGCUCUAAAGGAAACUUUGUGAUGUGUACACCAUUGCACGCUGUAGGGAUGCUUCUGUGGACCAGAUAUAUUGAGUGCUUUUGCUCAAUGGAAUAUUAACUUAAUCAGAGGGGCCUGUGAUUGGGAGAUGGAUACCUUACUCCCAGUCUUUAAUCUGCUAUAUUCCUGUAGCUUGAGAGAGGAGUUGACCAGCUUCACUGUGCUCCUGCCAAGAGAGGGAUGUUUAAUGCCUGGUCUUUCUAUAAUGCAUUAUCAUGAAAACAAUUGCUUUCCUCCAGACUAAGGUUCCCACAAGUGUUGCCUUUUUUGCUUGGACAGCCUCUCAAUGCAAGAUUCUCUCCGUUGGACAAAAGGACACAUUGUAGCGAUUGAUUUGUGCUACAUAUAUAAGUGGAGUGGGGAGUCCAUGGAUCAUCAUUUCCAUUGUGAGAUUGCUAGUGCUCUGUGGAGCUUAGAUCAUGCCUAGAAGAAUAUGGAUCUUUGGUACUCUUGGACAGGGUUAGGUGGCAUCCCAUAAAUUGCAGCGGUGUCGAAAAUGGUUCCUACUUGUCUCCUAUGGUGUAUUUAGAGGGAAAGGAACAAUAGAAGUUGAAGAUCGUGAAUGGACUUUUGAAAAGCUUAAAACUUUCUUCAACAUUCUCUUCUUUUGGGCAGCUUACAUAGAUUUUAAUGGCCUUAAUUUUUCUGAUUUUCUUGUAUCUGUUUAGGUGAAUUUGUUGUCCUUAUUCUGUGCACUCGGUUGCACCUUUUGGCCCUUUCGAUGAAGUCUUAGUACUUCUCAAAAAAUAAAUAAGCCUACAAAGUAUGAACAUGUUAUCCUAAAUCUCAUGCCUUUGAGCUGCAAAGUUUUUAGAACAUAGCAAGCAUACAAGCAUUCAUAGACAGGUUAUCAGAUCCAUCCUGUUCAAAUUUAUUGGGAAGUUUAUGUCUAGGAUAGCACCUAGGAGAUCAGAAGCAAGCAAAAGGAUUUCCAUAAAUUCUGAAGGAUGGUUUAGAACAUUUUCAAUGGGCUUAAGUAGUGUUGGAAAUCCCAUAUUCCUCUGUUUUGGGCUACAUAUAUGAAAUGCAAGGUAUUUUGCAAAUUUAACCUUAUCAAGCGUUAAAAACAGCACUCUUAGAGCACAAAGUGCCAAGAAAAGGGCUAUCUUAACGGCACAGUUAAACUGCAGUUAAAGCACAUUCCUUCUGGUGAAGUGCCCUGCCCCGAAAUGUGCUUUUUCUUAUUUUCCACAAUAGGGGUGAGGAUAGUAUCCCUGGGGAUUGUUUUACUUGCUAUUUUACUGCUUUUUGAUAUUUUAUUUUCUGGUAUACCAUGUAGCAAGAUGUGUUUUAUUUUGAUAUUGCUUUCUUGGUUGGUUUUUAUCUUGUGUAUUGCAUACACAAAUAUAUUUUCUAAGAAGAAGACGAUAGUUGAUAUUGUUAUAUUUAAAUGCCAUAUAACUAGAUGAUUGCCUUGCCAUUUGAUGGUGAUUAUAAUUAAGGAAAUAACCCCUAGGGGUUGGCUCAAGUUUUAAGGGCCUUGUUCUUGGGGGUUUGGUCCCCCAUGUCUAAGGUUCAAACCCUUGUGUGUAAACAAUUUCUAAGGGAGCGAAGCCGAUGAUUUAACUGAUCUGUGUGGUGUGCAUGCAUUAUACACAUCCGGGGUUUCAUUGGUUUAAAAGCUUGUUGCAUUUGCACUGUUUCUGGGAUUCUCGACAUUAAAAAAAAAUUAUUAUCUAGAAAUUUAUUAAAUUUAAUUAGGAUAUGGACCCACCAUCUUGUGCAAUGGUGAAGCUUUCUAACCACUUGAGCAUCAGGCUAAGAUCAGCCACUCCCUUCAGCUUCAGUUACCUGUGUUGACCAUUUUGAUUGCUUUUUUUUUCCUCUCUCUCUCUCUCUCUCUCUCUCUCUCUUGUUAACUUAUAUUAUGAAUUUUUCUUUUGGAAAUGUUGAUACAUGUUAUUUGAGAAAAGUGAACAUCAGGUAGACAUUUGUGCUUUGCACCCUGGACUUCAUGAUGCCUUUCAUUGCACUUAGGUGCACCUUGAGCGACAAAUUUUUUUUUGUGGCUAAUAAAGGGUGGUGACAUUUAUAAAAAGAAUUUAAACCCAGAGCUACAGGAUUGCAUCUACUGGGACGAUUAUCAUCUGGAGCAAGAUCUUGAAAUGGAUUGAAACUGUGGUUCUAGUAUUAAAUAGAAGUUUUAAAGCUGUUCCUUAUGUUACAUGUGCUUGUGUUUGUUUUUUUAAAUUUUUGUGUGGUUGGUUAAUCUUUAUGGGGAUUUUUAAAGGAGUUGGAAUGUUGUAAUUGUAACAGUUGAAUAGAAGCUUAGAACUGUGUCUUCGGCUGUAUUUACCAUA
RNA transcript from Carya illinoinensis, 8010 nucleotides. It is a transcript of the gene named ENHANCER OF AG-4 protein 2-like, with no coding region annotated. The transcript is spliced from 12 exons. The record is from RefSeq and is a predicted model, not a curated record. Lineage: Eukaryota; Viridiplantae; Streptophyta; Magnoliopsida; Fagales; Juglandaceae.